RNAcentral lists this ribosomal RNA (253 nucleotides) under uncultured bacterium. RNAcentral describes it as "partial 16S ribosomal RNA". It matches the Rfam family "Bacterial small subunit ribosomal RNA", at positions 524 to 776 of the family's 1533-position model. The record is from RNAcentral.
UACGGGGGGGGCAAGCGUUGUUCGGAAUUACUGGGCGUAAAGGGCUCGUAGGCGGCCAACUAAGUCCGACGUGAAAUCCCCAAGCUUAACUUGGGAACUGCGUCGGAUACUGGAUGGCUUGAAUUCGGGAGAGGGAUGCAGAAUUCCAGGUGUAGCGGUGAAAUGCGUAGAUAUUGGGAAGAACACCAGUGGCGAAGGCGGCUCACUGGCCCGUAACUGACGCUGAGGUGCGAAAGCGUGGGGAGCAAACAGG